UCUGGUUGAUCCUGCCAGAGGUUACUGCUAUCGAGGUUCGACUAAGCCAUGCGAGUCGAAUGUAGCAAUACAUGGCGUACUGCUCAGUAACACGUGGACAACCUACCCUCCGGACGGGGAUAAACCCGGGAAACUGGGUAUAAUACCCGAUAGAUCUCGACUGCUGGAAUGCAUCGAGAUCGAAAGCUCCGGCGCCAGAGGAUGGGUCUGCGGCCUAUCAGGUAGUAGUGGGUGUAGCGUACCUACUAGCCUACGACGGGUACGGGUUGUGAGAGCAAGAGCCCGGAGAUGGAUUCUGAGACACGAAUCCAGGCCCUACGGGGUGCAGCAGGCGCGAAAACUUUACAAUGCCGGCAACGGCGAUAAGGGGACCUCGAGUGCCAGGUUACAAAUCUGGCUGUCGUGAUGCCUAAAAAGCAUUGCAUAGCAAGGGCCGGGCAAGACCGGUGCCAGCCGCCGCGGUAACACCGGCGGCUCGAGUGGUAACCGUUAUUAUUGGGUCUAAAGGGUCUGUAGCCGGCCGGAUAAGUCUCUUGGGAAAUCCAGCAGCUCAACUGUUGGGCUUUCAGGAGAUACUGUCUGGCUCGAGGCCGGGAGAGGUGAGAGGUACUUCAGGGGUAGGGGUGAAAUCUUGUAAUCCUUGAAGGACCACCAGUGGCGAAGGCGUCUCACCAGAACGGACCUGACGGCAAGGGACGAAAGCUAGGGGCACGAACCGGAUUAGAUACCCGGGUAGUCCUAGCCGUAAACGAUACUCGCUAGGUGUCGGCCACGGUGCGACCGUUGUCGGUGCCGUAGGGAAGCCGUGAAGCGAGCCACCUGGGAAGUACGGCCGCAAGGCUGAAACUUAAAGGAAUUGGCGGGGGAGCACCACAACGGGUGGAGCUUGCGGUUUAAUUGGAUUCAACGCCGGAAAUCUUACCGGGACCGACAGCAAUAUGAAGGCCAGGCUGAAGACUUUGCCGGAUUAGCUGAGAGGUGGUGCAUGGCCGUCGUCAGUUCGUACUGUGAAGCAUCCUGUUAAGUCAGGCAACGAGCGAGACCCACGCCCACAGUUGCCAGCGUACUCUCCGGAGUGACGGGUACACUGUGGGGACCGCCGCUGCUAAAGCGGAGGAAGGAAAGGGCAACGGUAGGUCAGUAUGCCCCGAAUAUCCCGGGCUACACGCGAGCUACAAUGGUUGGUACAAUGGGUAUCUACCCCG
RNAcentral lists this ribosomal RNA (1205 nucleotides) under metagenome. RNAcentral's name for it is "bacterial SSU rRNA". It matches the Rfam family "Archaeal small subunit ribosomal RNA", at positions 1 to 1213 of the family's 1478-position model. The record is from RNAcentral.